Molecule: ribosomal RNA, 2485 nt
Filed under: Agathobacter rectalis
Lineage: Bacteria; Bacillati; Bacillota; Clostridia; Lachnospirales; Lachnospiraceae
Description: partial 23S ribosomal RNA
Rfam family: Bacterial large subunit ribosomal RNA
Source: RNAcentral
CUGAGCGGAAUCCAGAGUACAUCGAGACACGAGAAACCUUGAUGGAAAGAGCGGGGACCACCCCGUAAGCCUAAAUACUACUUAGUGACCGAUAGCGCAUAGUACUGUGAAGGAAAGGUGAAAAGGACCCCGGGAGGGGAGUGAAAGAGAACCUGAAACCCUGUGUUUACAAGCUGUGGAAGUUCUUUAAAUGAACAACCGCGUACUUUUUGUAGAACGGUCCGGCGAGUUGCGGAUACUGGCAAGGUUAAGCACUUAAGGUGCGGAGCCGAAGGGAUACCAAGUCUUAACAGGGCGUUAAGUCAGUAUACGCAGACCCGAAACCGGGUGAUCUAUCCAUGUCCAGGUUGAAGUUGUCGUAAAAGACAAUGGAGGACCGAAGCCACAUCCGUUGAAAAGGGUGGGCAUGAGGUGUGGAUAGGGGAGAAAUUCCAAUCGAACCCGGAGAUAGCUGGUUCUCCUCGAAAUAGCUUUAGGGCUAGCCUCGAUUUAGUCUUAUGGAGGUAGAGCACUGAAUUUCCGCGGGGGCGUCAAAGCUUACCAAAGAAUAUCAAACUCCGAAUGCCAUGUAGAUGAUGAUCGGGAGUCAGACUGCACGAGAUAAGUUGGGCAGUCAAAAGGGAAAGAGCCCAGACCACCGGCUAAGGUCCCAAAGUGCGUGUUAAGUGGAAAAGGAUGUGGGAAUUCGAAGACAACUAGGAUGUUGGCUCAGAAGCAGCCAUACAUUCAAAGAGUGCGUAACAGCUCACUAGUCGAGAGUUCCUGCGCCGAAAAUGUCCGGGGCUGAAACACGACACCGAAGCCGUGGACUCGCAAUGCGAGUGGUAGAGGAGCAUUCUUAAAACCGACGAAGCUGUACCGAAAGGAGCAGUGGAGGGAUAAGAAGAGAGAAUGCCGGAAUGAGUAGCGAGAGAAAGGUGGGAAUCCUUUCGGCCGAAUAUCUAAGGUUUCCAGAGUAAAGCUGAUCUGCUCUGGGUAAGUCGGGGCCUAAGCACAGGUCGCAAGACGUAAGCGAUGGAUAACAGGUUUAGAUUCCUGUACCACGCAUUAUCAGAACUGUAGGGACGCAUGUGGAAAGCACGGGCCGGGAAUGGAAAGACCGGUACAAGCGGGGUAGGUGUACAAUAGGCAAAUCCGUUGUAUAAUCCGAAGACGUGAUGUGGAGCGAAAUAAAGUAGUGAAGCGUGUGAGCCAUGUGCCGAGAAAAGCUGCUAUUGUGUAAUGCGUGCCCGUACCGUAAACCGACACAGGUGGAUGAGGAGAGAAUCCUAAGGCCGACGGAAGAAGCAUUGUUAAGGAAUUCGGCAAAAUGACCCCGUAACUUCGGGAGAAGGGGUGCCUGCGAGAGCAGGCCGCAGAGAAUAGGCUCAAGCAACUGUUUAGCAAAAACACAGGUCUAUGCGAAACCGAAAGGUGAAGUAUAUGGGCUGACGCCUGCCCGGUGCUGGAAGGUUAAGAGGAGAGGUUAGCUUCGGCGAAGCUUUGAAUUUAAGCCCCAGUAAACGGCGGCCGUAACUAUAACGGUCCUAAGGUAGCGAAAUUCCUUGUCGGGUAAGUUCCGACCCGCACGAAAGGCGUAAUGAUUUGAGCACUGUCUCGACAAUGCAUCCGGUGAAAUUGAAGUACCAGUGAAGAUGCUGGUUACCCGCGCCAGGACGGAAAGACCCCAUGGAGCUUUACUCCAGUUUGAUACUGGGAUUCGGUACUGCAUGUACAGGAUAGGUGGGAGACGAAGAAGGAUGGACGCCAGUCUGUCCGGAGUCGCUGUUGGGAUACCACCCCUGUAGUACUGGGUUUCUAACCAGUUGCCAUGAACUGGCAAUGGGACAAUGUCAGGCGGGGAGUUUGACUGGGGCGGUCGCCUCCGAAAGGGUAUCGGAGGCGCUCAAAGGUUCCCUCAGAAUGGUUGGAAACCAUUUGAAGAGUGCAAAGGCAGAAGGGAGCUUGACUGCGACACCGACGGGUGGAGCAGGUACGAAAGUAGGACUUAGUGAUCCGGUGGUAUAAAGUGGGAUUGCCAUCGCUCAACGGAUAAAAGCUACCCUGGGGAUAACAGGCUUAUCACUCCCAAGAGUUCACAUCGACGGAGUGGUUUGGCACCUCGAUGUCGGCUCAUCGCAUCCUGGGGCUGUAGCAGGUCCCAAGGGUUGGGCUGUUCGCCCAUUAAAGCGGUACGCGAGCUGGGUUCAGAACGUCGUGAGACAGUUCGGUCCCUAUCCGGCGCGGGCGGAGGAUAUUUGAGAGGAGCUGUCCUUAGUACGAGAGGACCGGGAUGGACGGACCACUGGUGUAUCUGUUGUCGACCAACGGCAUGGCAGAGUAGCCAAGUCUGGAAGGGAUAAACGCUGAAGGCAUCUAAGCGUGAAGCCCCCCUCAAGAUGAGAUAUCCCUCCUUCGGGAGUAAGACCCCUUGAAGACUACAAGGUAGAUAGGGCAGAGGUGGAAGCAUGGCAACAUGUGGAGCUGACUGUUACUAAUAGGUCGA